This 1336-nucleotide long non-coding RNA is filed under the name Triticum aestivum (bread wheat). RNAcentral describes it as "long non-coding RNA (TAES_LNC007517)". The record is from RNAcentral. Lineage: Eukaryota; Viridiplantae; Streptophyta; Magnoliopsida; Poales; Poaceae.
UUACCUUUUUCUUAAGCUUCAGAAGGUUAUUUUGGAUUGAAAUGACAAUUUGCAACUUUUCACCUUUUUAAUAGUACUGAGGACCAAAUUUAGAAAAUUCAACGGGUGGUGAGUUCAAUCAAGUGAAAAAUUGUAGGUCGAACAUGAAAGGAUGCACAUUCGUUUUUGAAGAUUGAAAAUAACGUUUCAUGAAGCAAACUUGAGGUAUCAAUCAAGUCUCACUUUUUUUAUUUGUAUAAUUGGUUGACAUAUGAGAUGCCUUAGGACGUGUGAUAGUGAUACUCAUGAUUUCUUGCUGUGCAAAAAAUAUAGUAUACACCAAGAGUUGUAUAAAUCUGUAAAGGGUGACAUACCUGCAGUACAAGAAAUUAUAAGAAGUAAAUAGCAUCGAAACAAUCUUUGCUUUUUUGGAUGGAAAUAGGUGAGAUCUAUUAAGCAAUAAUGGGGUUAGGAAUAAUGGUUGCUGAUAACUAUAUAUUUUUAUGAAUAGUCAUCUACCUGGAUGUGAUCCUUCAAACACGAAUAAUUGGAUUCUUAUAGUUCAUAAAUGAUAUUGUUUAGUUCUCCUUUAUAGAGUCUCUUUUGCAUCAUGGUAUAUCUGUUAUCAAGAAUGAUGCUCGGAAAAUUCUUCUUUCCAUGCCAAAUAACAUUUUAUUUUGACUCGAUAACACCGGGUAACAUGGCGGAUGUUUGUAGCGACAUAGAGAUAGGAAUGGGCAAAUCAUCUUAGCUAUAGUGUAUGGACAAAAGAGCAUUGAUUAAUGAUGCUGAGAGCUAGCUCUUGCCGCAUUAUCAUCUAUCUCUUUAACUUUCAAGGACCAGUAAUUGAACGAUUGUAUCAUGUGAUUGGUACUACAAAAUUGACAAUCUUUUUGUAUUAAUAUCUUAAUUUCAAGAUGAAUUGGAGAAGGGAGUCUGCUCUAUGUUUUCUAAUCGGUCAUAGUCAGUGUGUAUUUCUGGUACUGAUGUACAGUUAUUAAGAAAGUUUUCUUUUACAGAUAUUCUGCUAAUGAUAGGAAGCGUGGUUGAAAACUGCUCUGGCUGGAGUUGUAUGCUUUGUGACUGAAGACUAGAGACUGGUGUCACGGUGACUUGCACCCACUCCUGAUGGUCCUACCACCCAGCUUUUGCUCUCUUGAAUUUUCUUAUUUUCAUAUUAACACUGCUAUUAGGGUCAAUCUCUGUUGUUUACUGCUCUAAUUAAGCUAUUGCUAGGAUUCCAUGUUUCCUACAGACCUACAUUGUAUUACACUGAUCAUUAGUAAUUCAACCUACGUUGUAUUAUACUGGCCAUUAGUUGAAUGUUGAUUCUCUGAUAAUCUUAAUACAUCCAUGG